This 429-nucleotide ribosomal RNA is filed under the name Chloroflexota bacterium. Its description in RNAcentral is "Chloroflexi bacterium partial 16S ribosomal RNA". It matches the Rfam family "Bacterial small subunit ribosomal RNA", at positions 355 to 776 of the family's 1533-position model. Lineage: Bacteria; Bacillati; Chloroflexota. The record is from RNAcentral.
UGGGGAAUAUUGCACAAUGGGCGCAAGCCUGAUGCAGCCAUGCCGCGUGUAUGAAGAAGGCCUUCGGGUUGUAAAGUACUUUCAGCGGGGAGGAAGGGAGUAAAGUUAAUACCUUUGCUCAUUGACGUUACCCGCAGAAGAAGCACCGGCUAACUCCGUGCAAGCAGCCGCGGUAAUACGGAGGGUGCAAGCGUUAAUCGGAAUUACUGGGCGUAAAGCGCACGCAGGCGGUUUGUUAAGUCAGAUGUGAAAUCCCCGGGCUCAACCUGGGAACUGCGUCUGAUACUGGCAAGCUUGAGUCUCGUAGAGGGGGGUAGAAUUCCAGGUGUAGCGGUGAAAUGCGUAGAGAUCUGGAGGAAUACCGGUGGCGAAGGCGGCCCCCUGGACGAAGACUGACGCUCAGGUGCGAAAGCGUGGGGAGCAAACAGG